CCCUGUGGCUCAGUUGGUAGAGCAUGGUGUGUGCAACACCAGGGUUGUGGGUUUGAUUCCCACAGGGG
Molecule: non-coding RNA, 68 nt
Organism: Salmo salar (Atlantic salmon)
Lineage: Eukaryota; Metazoa; Chordata; Actinopteri; Salmoniformes; Salmonidae
Source: Rfam